Molecule: long non-coding RNA, 3466 nt
Organism: Micropterus dolomieu (smallmouth bass)
Lineage: Eukaryota; Metazoa; Chordata; Actinopteri; Centrarchiformes; Centrarchidae
Exons: 3
Source: RefSeq, a predicted model, not a curated record
CUGUUGCUGGUUCGUUGUAUGUUCAUCCACUGCUGUGUGUCUUGCUUGCCUGCCUCUGCAACCUUGUUUGUUGGAUUAUCCUUUUGUUCUGUCUUCCCAGGAUCAUUUGGUUUGGACUGUGUUUGCUGCUCUGUGGACAACCUUAGUUUGGACUCUGCUGUAAAUUUAGUUCCUUUUGAGUUUAAUAAAUUCUAAGACUGUAUCUGUCCCGCCUGCUUGUCCUGCGUUUGGGUCCUAUACCUGUUCCCCACCUGCACACAAGACAAAGUGUGACGCUGCCAACCAGAGCAGGAAUAAUGCAGCAGGAAUGAAGACUGUUGGACUUUCUAUGAGAUGGUCUUUAAUUACUUCAUGACGUCACAUCUGUUCAAUUUUCAUUUUGUAACUUAUCCCUUUAUAUCUGUCAGCCCCUCACAAUAUCUAGGAUUAGACGUUGUUUCAACAUUGAAAUGUCUGCUGGGUCUUUGAACAUUGAGCUUUCGGUUUGUUUUUCCAUUAACAGUGUUUUUCUCCAACUCCAUUGGAUUUUAUCUUGAGACAAUAGAGACAUGAAAUGGUAGCUGACAGCUCUGCUAUCAUAUCAGGAAGGCUGAGUGCACCAGUAGACAAACUGAGGCAUGGACCCAAAAGGCAGAGCACUAGGCAGACCACUCAACAUAUGACACAAUGCAACAAAAACUAAACACAACUGAGGGCAACAUACUGGGACACACCACACACAAGCAGGCAGGAUAAUUAGCCACAGGUGAUACGCAUAAGCAAUCAAGUCAAGCAGGAAACAAAGCUAGACAAACACCCAACAUCAAUGAUUACAAAAUAAAAUGGGAAGUAAAGCUACCGACAAUACACAAUAAUAUAAGUAACUAAAUAAAACAGAACAAGGAAGCAACGACCAACUAACAAAACCUAAACAAGAACACAAAGGCAGUGGGUAAAACAGAAAUGGACAUUUAACAAAACAAACGCCACACUCAAAUCCAAGAUUGUGACAAUUCAUGGAAUAUCAAAUAUUUUUUCAUUGGGUUUUUCAGGCAACAGGGGAUGAGUACUGAGAAAUGUUUUCGGGUGUAUACUAAAACAGAAAAAUAUUGCUAAGGUGUGUAUAUUAUAUACUGUGUAUUAAAUUUUAAAGUAAAGCCCAUGCUUGUAUGUAAGCAGUCAAUGUAAGCCCAACAGAUGUUACAGAAAUGUGAUUUGAAAGCACUGAUUAGUCAUUCAUCCUGGGCCAACGUCCCACGAGAGAAAGCUUCAUUUGGUCUGUUCAGUAACUUUAGCUGCCAGGCUGCUUGGAAUUGAUUAGAAUCAAUCGAUUGCUUCUCAUUCACUCAUCAUAGGCAGCUUGAGCAGUAUCCUAGUCUCCAGGCCCAGAUGACAUCAUCAAGGCUAUUUUCUACAACUUUAAAAGCUCUUCCAGAGAUACACAAAUGAUACUUUGUGCCCCUUCUACUUGACAGUCAAGGUGGUUAUCUUUCAAAAUGGCUGCAUUUUUGUCUUCAAAACUGGAAACUAAGUUUUAAUAAAAAAAAAAAAAGGGACAUACGUAGCUGGUCAUUGCAACCCAGUUGAUUUUCAUGUCAAUGAUGUAAUGUUUUCCUCACUUUCAGUAAUGGUGAUUCAUUAGUAAGUAACUUUAUUUAUAUAGCUCCUUCCAAGAGCAAACCGUCAUAAAGUGCUUCACAAAAGAAAUAAGGCAGCUGACAUAAAUACAGACAAGGACUUUUAAGGACAUGGUACAGACAGAUUAAAACACCAUCAAAUAGAAAUAAGUUACGAUAAUGUCAUGCUCUUGGGUUUUUGUGUGCUAUUUUUCUGUUAUUUUGAUUAUGUCCAUUCCUUUUUUACUCUUUGCCUCUGUUUUUGUUUAGGUUUGGUUAGUUGAUCAUUGCCUCCUUGUUCUCUGUAUUUGGUUUCACAUGUCCUUGUGUACUGUCGCUAGCUUUACUUCCUAUUUUAUUUUGUAGUGAUCAGUUUGAUGGGUGUGGGUUUUUUUGGGGUUUUUUUGUGUCUAGCUUUGUUUCCUGUCUGUUUGAUUGAUUUAUGUGUCUCACCUGUGUUAAUUGUCCUGCCUGCUUGUGUAUAUAUUAUUAUUAUAUAGUCCUUGUGGUGUCAUCGUCUUAUGCUGAGUGUUCCUGCCUGUUCUUUGCUUCAUGGCUUAUUCCUCGACUAACAGGCUUUUCUGCAUUUAGGAUUUGUUCCCUGUUUGGAUUACUCUGUGUUUCUUGGAUUGCCCCUUUUGUUUGGACGCUCACCUUGUGUUCACGUGUUUCUGGCUUCUGAGAUGUGCAGUCUGGAUCUCUGGUUGUGGGCUUUCUGCUGCCCCCGUGUUCCUGCUGGACACCCACUGCUACCAUUGUUAUUACUUGUCCUAUUAUUAAUAUGACUAUAAUUAUCAGUACCAUUAUUUAUUUCUGUCUGAACCACUCACUUUUACUGCCCUCUCUCUCUCCCUCACCACCAACCAGUCAGAUGACACUUUUCUUAUGGUGACCAAAUUUAGUAAGUAGAUGACAGCGCAAACAUUUACCUCAUUAAAUAUGUGAUGUCUGAUAUAAAGUAUGUAAGCCAUCUCGAGCCCUGGGCCUCACUGAUGCUCUUGUGGCUGAAAAGGAGCAAAUCCCAGCAGUCAGGUUCUAACACGUGGUGGAAAGACAUCAGAAGAGUAGAGGCUGUUAUAGCAGCAGAUUAAUGCCCAUGUUCAACUACUGUCUAAGGGUGUAAUGGUCAGGUGUCAACAUACUGCUGAACGUAGACCUUCUAUGCUGCUUAAGGUUUUGCUAACACUGACCCUUUAUUCACCGUUCACCUCAGGUUGUGCGUGUGACUGAAUACAAUGUGAACAAGCUAGUAUAAUGAGACUCUGUUGUGAUUUUAUUCUGAACCAGUGACAAGUAGAUGAGGUGAUUCAGCCACAUGGUGGAGGUAGAGAAAUACAAAGCCAGGGAAAAGUCUGUAUGUGUGAAUAUUAAUGCUGCAUUGUUGAUUAGAAGAAUGGAUCCUCAUUUUAAUAAUCACUCCUGCUUAUUAUGCUUAUUACCUGAUUUUGAGGCCCUGUCUUGAAGAAAUCUUCAUUAUUUGAGUUUUGCGAUUAACAUAAUCCUCAGUUUUUUAAUCAAAUUAUGUGCCAGGUAGUGUUUCAGCAUUGGAUUAACAGGGAGCUCAUUUUUGUUUAGGUAUUCCCUAGCUGGUCAAUCUGGUUGUGAUUACACAUGGACUUCAGGUUUGCUUCAUACCCAUACACAAUUUCUGACAUCCCUCCAAUGAGCAACAAUUGUAUUGGAAAGCAAACUGACCUGCCUUAGUAACAGAACCUCAGCUGGCAAGAUUGAACAACUUCAACUUGGACCAAAUCAUCCAACUAUUACUAACAUGUAAAAGGGGAAUCUUUAAUAGCAAACUUAAGGAACAGCUGGGUGGUCAACAUUGUAGCUAAUUUGUAUGAAACAUAUAAAACAGAUUUUGCUUCAUC